CGGCACCUCAAGUGGUCAGGAUGAUUAUUGGGCCUAAGGCAUCCGUAGCCGGCUCUGUAAGUUUUCGGUUAAAUCUGUACGCUCAACGUACAGGCUGCCGGGAAUACUGCAGAGCUAGGGAGUGGGAGAGGUAGACGGUACUCGGUAGGAAGGGGUAAAAUCCUUUGAUCUAUUGGUGACCACCUGUGGCGAAGGCGGUCUACCAGAACACGUCCGACGGUGAGGGAUGAAAGCUGGGGGAGCAAACCGGAUUAGAUACCCGAGUAGUCC
Molecule: ribosomal RNA, 270 nt
Filed under: uncultured archaeon
Lineage: Archaea
Description: partial 16S ribosomal RNA
Rfam family: Archaeal small subunit ribosomal RNA
Source: RNAcentral